UUGAUGGCUCAGUUCCAUGUUGGGCGUCAAAGAGGGUGAAAAUCCCGUACUCCAGUCUGUCCAUGUGAAGCCCUUUCGACGAGUCGAGUUGUUUGGGAAUGCAGCUCAAAAUGGGUGGUAAAUUUCAUCUAAAGCUAAAUAUCAGCCAAAGACCGAUAGCGAACAAGUAGAGUGAUCGAAAGAUGAAAAGCACUUUGAAAAGAGAGUUAAACAGCACGUGAAAUUGUUGAAAGGGAAGCGCUCGCAACUAGACUUGCUUGGUGCACUCAGGCCAACAUCGAUUUCGACGGUCGGAUAAAGACUUGGAAAGUGGCUUUCGGAGUGUUAUAGCCCGAGUGUCAUGCGGCCAAUCGGGAUCGAGGAUUGCGCAAGGAUGUUGGCUUAAUGGUGCCAGCGACCCGUCUUGAAACACGGACCAAGGAGUAGUAUUUAUGCGAGCAUUUGGGUGUAAAACCCUAUGCGUAAUGAAAGUGAACGCAGGUGGGGCUCACCAUCGACCGGUCUGAGUUCGCGAGGAUCUGAGUAUGAGUAUAAAUAUUGACCCGAAAGAAGAUGAACUAUUCCUGACUAGGGUGAAGCCAGAGGAAACUCUGGUGGAGGCUCGCAGCGGUUCUGACGUGCAAAUCGAUCGUCAAAGCUGGGAAUAGGGGCGAAAGACUAAUCGAAUCUUCUAGUAGCUGGUUCCUGUCGAAGUUUCCCUCAGGAUAGCAGUAACGACAGUCUCAUGAGGUAGAGCAACGAUUAGAGGCCUUGGGGCAGAAACUGCCUUAACCUAUUCUCGAACUCCGAAUAUGUGAGAAGUCC
Molecule: ribosomal RNA, 804 nt
Rfam family: Eukaryotic large subunit ribosomal RNA